AGCAGCCGCGGUAAUUCCAGCUCCAAUAGCGUAUAUUAAAGUUGCUGCAGUUAAAAAGCUCGUAGUUGAAUUUCGGGACCAUCAUGUCGGUCGUGCCUCGGUACGUACUGGUAUUGUUGGUUUCUCCCUUCUGACGAACCAUGAUGUCAUUUAUUUGGUGUCGUGGGGAAUCAGGACUGUUACUUUGAAAAAUUAGAGUGUUUAAAGCGGGCUCACGCUUGAAUACAUUAGCAUGGAAUAAUGAAAUAGGACGUUUGACUCUAUUUUGUUGGUUUCUAGGAUCGACGUAAUGAUUAAUAGGGAUAGUUGGGGGCAUUAGUAUUCAAUUGUCAGAGGUGAAAUUCUUGGAUUUAUUGAAGACUAACUACUGCGAAAGCAUUUGCCAAGGAUGUUUUCAUUAAUCAAGAACGAAAGUUAGGGGAUCGAAGACGAUCAGAUACCGUCGUAGUCUUAACCAUAAACUAUAGCCGACUAGGGAUCGGGAUGAUGUUAAUUUUUUAAUAGUACUCAUUCGGCGUCC
Molecule: ribosomal RNA, 520 nt
Filed under: uncultured Glomeromycotina
Lineage: Eukaryota; Fungi; Glomeromycota
Description: SSU rRNA
Rfam family: Eukaryotic small subunit ribosomal RNA
Source: RNAcentral